This is a long non-coding RNA of Felis catus (domestic cat), 2754 nucleotides long. RefSeq lists it as uncharacterized. The record is from RefSeq and is a predicted model, not a curated record. The transcript has 6 exons. Lineage: Eukaryota; Metazoa; Chordata; Mammalia; Carnivora; Felidae.
GCUGGCUGGUUUACAUGAACCUCCAGAGAACGACCCCCCAGAAGACCACCGGCGGCUUCUGAGAGCACCUGUCUGCCCAUUGCCUCACCAACACAGCAGAUGGUCGGACUGGGGAGUUUCUGCCAAUUGGAUGGAUCUUACAACCAGGAUGUGAAUGGGAAAAAGCAGUUGCAGAAGGAAAAGUGUGAUGCCACAUCGACAUAAAGUUUUAAUUCAUGCAAAACACGCUAUUUUUCAAGGAGCAAGAGGCUUAUGUAUAUGCAGCAAAAGGCUUAACAUAUGAAUGGGACAUAUUUUCCUUUAAGAGGAAAAAAAAAAACCCUUUUUUCAUGCACAAGGACUUACAAUUUAAGCCCAGGUGCACCAGUAUCUUACUGAGAGAGGCAGAAUCAUCCUCGCUUGUAGGUUGGCUCCUAGAAGGCUCCUGAACCAAUCAGCCAUGGGUCAGGGAUUGCUGCCUCCCGUCUGCACAGCUGGGGUCAGUUGACUCACCUGUAGCCUGCAGUCCAGCCCCGCUCCAGCUUGGGGCUCAUCUGGGGGAAAGUAUUUAAGCACAGAAGCCUGACCCUGCUAGGACGUUGAAACUCUUGGUCUUGGCGGUUCAGGCAACAGUGAACAUGGACUUCAAGCUGCUGGCAGUGAGAUUCUUGUCUUGGGGGGAAACUUCAGAUGGUUGCUGGCUUUUCUUGGAAAAGUAUGAAGCUCUGGCAGAGUUCGUACGCGACAGCUCCCGGUGGUCAGCAGGAUCCCAGCACCAGCCCCCUUCCCCUCAAUUGUCAGCUGUAACCAUCAAGGUGCCCUGGCCUAGGGGUCUGUUGCCUUACGAAUAACCAAGGACCUGGAAGAAAGCUGCUUCUAUCCACAGAAGGAGGACGUGAGUUGGCCUGAGAAUUGGAAGGGAAUGUUAAGAGCGUUCUGUGUUGGGCAGCCUUCGUCAUCGGAGAGCCUCUCCUGAAAAAUGAGUGCAGUGUAGGCCUGAGUUAAAACUCGGACUUCUCCAUAUCCCCCAGUCCCAUUCUGCCAGCCGAAAUACCAGGCCCCUGCGACCCUCUUCGCUCUCACCAAACCAGCAGACUUUCCUGACAGACCCCAGACUCCGAAGGCCUCAAAACUGGAAUUUGAGGAAGUUAAAUACUAAUGGGGGACCGUGAAGACCAUUAAAAAGUAAUCUUUAUUUGGAGGGAAUGGGAAGAGAGCACUCCUGUCAGGACAAGGUCCCACCCACAGCACUGAGCAAGUCAAGGGACCACAUCCUCAAAGAAAAAAAAGGAAUCUCCUAUACAAGGAGGAGGCCAGGCCAUGUUGUCAGAACCACAGCACGGAGCUGAUGGAGAACAAAAUGGGCUCUGGAUUUCAGCCAGACCCAAGCUGAGGGCUGGUGUUGGAGGAUCUAGCAAGAUGUGGGAGGAGAGCAGUAGGAACUGGUAGGCACUGGUACCUCUAUUGCAGGGAUCCGUAUCUCGCCGGAAUUCCAUUUUUAAGUCACUGAAAACUAAGCUGGUUUUUUUCCUGAAUACUCCUGAGGAAAUGUUCUUAUGAUAGGUGGCUGAAAUCCGCCAUUUUGUUGGCAGCCUCUUUAAACUGGUGGGGUUUCCGGAUAUUGGGGUUCCUGUGACAGCCAUUCUGUGCAUAGCAUCAACCUGAGCCUGAUCCACGUUGCUGCCAGGGGACUUGGGGGGGGGGGGCAGAGGGACUCCAAAUGUGAAGCUCCUGCCGUCUGCUGGGAAGCAUGUAGAACGUGGCAGGUCUCCUUAGCUUGCAAGCAAGAUAGUCUCAGACUCUCCACAGUUCUUGAUCGUUUUGAUAGAGUGGGAUGCUGAAUGAAAUGUGGCUUUCUGGGAAAGAAAGGACAAGACCCUUUGCAGCCUGGGUUAGGGGAUAGGAGAAGCAAAUACCCUGGGAUCUGGUAGCAAGUGCUCUUGGCCCAAGUGGUGAUGGGCUAAGAACCUCUCUCUGGCCUACUCGUGAAGGAGACUGACCGGUGCAAGGUGGGAUUGAAACCUGAAACCCAAAUAGUGCUGUUGGUGGUGGCUCACUCUUCCACUGGGAGAUGCUAUGAGCAGUUGAUGGGCUGUUGGAAACAGUACAUAGGCCUUGCUUGCUGGUGCAGAGCUGGACUCUCCCUCUCCGCUGCUCCUGCAUCCCUCCCACCAGCCACUCUAAGGAAAAAGCCACAUCUAGGGAAUACUGGAUGGGGGCAGUGUGGGGACACAGGUGCCAAAGUCUCCAUCCUACUUGGGUCGAGGGCAGGAAGGGAUGCCUGGAUGGGGCUCAAGGUCCUGGUGAAGAGAAAAACUAAUGUGAUCUUGGUUUUGGGCUGACCCAAUAUGCUUUCUUUGUUGUGUCUACAUCUGACUGGGAGUUGGGCUGACCCAAUAUGCUUUCUUUGUUGUGUCUACAUCUGACUGGGAGUUUAAAUUUCAUUUUUUAUUCAUCAUAAGUGUACUGCUUAAUCCCCUUCACUUAUCUGACCCAUCCCCAUCCCCCCCUUCUGGUAACCAUCAAUUCUCUUUAGUUAAGUCUUUUUUUUUCUUCUUCGCUCAUUUGUUUAAAUUCCACAUGAGUGAGAUCAUCUGGAAUUUGUCUUUCUCUGACUUCUCACAUAGCAUUGUACUCUGUAGCUCUAGCCAUGUUGCAAAUGGCAAGAUUUCAUUAUGGCUGAAUAAUCACAUACCACAUAUUUAUCCAUUCAUCCAUCGAUGAACAGUGACACCUUACAUAUCCUGGCUAUUGUAAAUAAUGCAAUAAACAUUG